RNAcentral lists this transfer RNA (71 nucleotides) under Marmota monax (woodchuck). RNAcentral describes it as "tRNA.Ala". The record is from RNAcentral. Lineage: Eukaryota; Metazoa; Chordata; Mammalia; Rodentia; Sciuridae.
GUUGUUGUGGCUCAGCGGUAGAGUGUUCACCCAGCACAUGCGAGAUGCUGGGUUCGAUCCUCAGCACCACA